This 565-nucleotide ribosomal RNA is filed under the name uncultured marine eukaryote. RNAcentral describes it as "SSU rRNA". It matches the Rfam family "Eukaryotic small subunit ribosomal RNA", at positions 613 to 1179 of the family's 1831-position model. The record is from RNAcentral.
UUGCAGUUAAAAAGCUCGUAGUUGGAUUUCUGGUAGGAGCGGCCGGUCCGCCCCGUAAUGGGGUGCGCACUAGAGCCGCCUCCGGCCAUCCUUGGGGGAACUGCUAUGGCAUUAACUUGUCGUGGUAUGGAACCCAUCGUUUACUGUGAAAAAAUUAGAGUGUUUAAAGCAGGCUUAGGCCGUUGAAUACAUUAGCAUGGAAUAAUAAGAUAGGACCUUACGGACCUCUUGUUGGUUUGCGCCGAAAGGUAAUGAUUAAUAGGGAUAGUUGGGGGUAUUCGUAUUUAAUUGUCAGAGGUGAAAUUCUUGGAUUUAUGAAAGACGAACUUCUGCGAAAGCAUUUACCAAGGAUGUUUUCACUAAUCAAGAACGAAAGUUAGGGGAUCGAAGAUGAUUAGAUACCAUCGUAGUCUUAACCAUAAACUAUGCCGACUAGGGAUUGGCGGUCGUUCUUUUAUGACUCCGUCAGCACCUUAUGAGAAAUCAAAGUCUUUGGGUUCCGGGGGGAGUAUGGUCGCAAGGCUGAAACUUAAAGGAAUUGACGGAAGGGCACCACCAGGAGUGG